UGUUGUUUUUAUGGGCGUUCGGUGGAUGCCUUGGCACCAGGGGCCGAUGAAGGACGUGGUGGACUGCGAUAAGCCUCGGGGAGCCGUCUGGCGGGCCUUGAUCCGAGGGUUUCCGAAUGGGGGGACCCGGCGCCCGUCGUGGGGCGUCACCCGCGUCUGAAUGUAUAGGGCGUGUGGGGGUUACGCGGGGAAGUGAAACAUCUCAGUACCCGUAGGAGAGGAUAUUCCGUGAGUAGUGGCGAGCGGAAGCGGAUGAUGGCUGAAACCGUCGUGGUGCUGGUUACCCGGCAGGGUCUGCCGCGGCGGGGUUGUGGGGUCGUGCCGUCCUGUUCCUGCCGGGGCGGGGGCGUGGUGAGAAACCGUGGUGGUAGCCGAACCCCCUGGGACGGGGGGCCGUGGAGGGUGAGAGCCCCGUAGGCGGAACUGCCUCGGCCGCGCUGGUACGGUGCCCGAGUAGCACGGGGCACGUGGAAUCCUGUGUGAAUCUGCUGGGACCACCUGGCUGCCUGAAUACCUCCUGGUGACCGAUAGCGGAGUAGUACCGUGAGGGAACGGUGAAAAGUACCCCGGGAGGGGAGUGAAAGAGUACCUGAAACCGGGCGCCUACGAGCCGUCAGGGCCCUUGCGCCCCCUCUUGUGGGGGGUGGGGGGUGGUGGCGUGCCUAUUGAAGAAUGAGCCUGCGAGUCAGUGGCGUGUCGCGAGGUUAACCCGUGUGGGGUAGCCGUAGCGAGGGCGAGUCCGAAUGAGGGCGUCUAGUGGCGCGUCCUGGACCCGAAGCGGGGUGAUCUACCCAUGGCCAGGCUGAGGCACGUGUAAGAGCGUGUGGAGGGCCGGACCCGCCUGGGUUGAAAACCGGGGGGAUGAGCUGUGGGUAGGGGUGAAAGGCCAAUCAGACUCCGUGAUAGCUGGUUCUCCCCGAAAUGCAUUUGGGUGCAGCGUCGCGUGGUCCCCGGCGGAGGUAGAGCUACUGGUUGGCUGAUGGGCCUCACAGGGUUACUGGGGUCAGCCAAACUCCGAAUGCCGUCGGGUGUGAGCGCGGCAGUGAGACCGCGGGGGAUAAGCUCCGUGGUCGAGAGGGGAACAGCCCGGACCGCCGGCUAAGGCCCCUAAGCGCGCGCUAAGUGGGAAAGGAUGUGCGGCCGCGGUGACAACCAGGAGGUUGGCUUAGAAGCAGCCACCCUUGAAAGAGUGCGUAACAGCUCACUGGUCAAGUGGUCGUGCGCCGACAAUGUAGCGGGGCUCAAGCGCGCCGCCGAAGCCGCGGACCCCUGGCCCCUAUCUGGGGCCUGGGGUGGUAGGGGAGCGUCCUGUGCUGGGUGAAGCCGGUGGGGUGACCCCUGGUGGACGGUGCGGGAGUGAGGAUGCAGGCAUGAGUAGCGAGACCGGGGUGGGAGUCCCCGGCGCCGUGUGACCAAGGGUUCCAGGGGAAGGUUCGUCCGCCCUGGGUGAGUCGGGGCCUAAGGCGAGGCCGACAGGCGUAGUCGAUGGGUGACGGGUUGAUAUUCCCGUACCGGUGGGGCACCGCCCGUGCUGACUGGUGGGUGCUAACCCACGCCGGGUGCCGCCUUCUUCUCCUGCCGCGGGCUUCGGCCCGGGUGGGGGUGGUGGUGCGUGGUCUGGGGGUCCUCCGCCUUGGUAGGCAAGCGUGUUAACAGGGGUGACGCACAGUGGUAGCCUCCGCGGGCCUGAUGGCUUGGCCCGUCCAACCGUGUGGCCCGUCCCCUAGGUAAAUCCGGGGGGCUGUCUUUGGUGACGAGGGUGAGGCGGGACGGUGACCUGCCCUUCUGGGGUGGGGAAGCAGGGUGAUCCUGUGGUGCCUAGAAAAGCCUCGACGCGAUGGUGUGAGCCGCCCGUACCCUAUACCGACACAGGUGGUCCGGCAGAGUAUGCCGAGGCGGGCGGGUGAACCGUGGUGAAGGAACUCGGCAAGAUGCCCCCGUAACUUUGGGAGAAGGGGGGCCCUGUCCCCUGAGGCCCCGUCGCGGGCUGGGGGGGCGGGCCGCAGAGACCAGGGGGGAGCGACUGUUUACUAAAAACACAGGUCCGUGCGAAGCCGUAAGGCGAUGUAUACGGACUGACGCCUGCCCGGUGCUGGAAGGUCAAGAGGACCCGUCAGCCCCCCUUGCGGGGGUGAAGCGGUGAAUUCAAGCCCCAGUGAACGGCGGUGGUAACUAUAACCAUCCUAAGGUAGCGAAAUUCCUUGUCGGGUAAG
Molecule: ribosomal RNA, 2213 nt
Filed under: human oral metagenome
Description: bacterial LSU rRNA
Rfam family: Bacterial large subunit ribosomal RNA
Source: RNAcentral